CUAAAAUUUUUGGCGCCGUUAGGCUGCCAAUUUUUUCGUCGCACGUCGUCCUCCGCCGCCGCCCGCCUGCGCCAUUGCCCUCUGACCAUCGCCCUUCGCCGCCAUCCUCCGCGCGCGCCGACCUUCGACCUCCAGCCCCUGCCGCCAGCCCAUCCACCGUCGCCGGCCUCCACCGCGUGCGAGCUGGGGGGAGGAGGAGGCGGCGGCGAGCCAGGCGCUUCAAAUCCGCCAAGGCCGCCAUGGAAGCGGAGACGGAGGAGAAGAUCCUGAGGGAGAGGUUCAGACUGGAAGGGAAGGAGGUGCUGCGCGGGAGCCAUCGUCGUCUCGUGAUCCCAACGUUAUCACGCCGGGACGGAGUUCAUGGAGAAGCUGUCGCGGGCGCUCAAGUACUACGUCCGUGCCCGUCUCACCAGUGACCCACUCUGGAGCAACAUCAAGCAACAGAAGCCGUAGCCGGUAGCCACAGCGGUGAUGGAGUGCUGACGCACCGGGGAGAGGCGGCCAAGGUGUGCCGCGUCGGCGUCUCACCAAUGGACAUCAAUGUGCUCGGCUUUCGGUGUUCCAAGAAGGAGAAAGGGCGACGGUGAAGAAGGCGACAAAAAAUACGUUCCCCCUAAAAAAGGGAAACGGCGCCACGACGAUCAAAACGGUAGCCGAAGAUAAAAGAUCCUCUAAAGACGACGAAGUCCCAGUUGACAUAACCGGCUCCAAGAAAAACGAAUAGUCAGCAAAGGCGAAGAAAAGGAAGGGCGAGAGAAGCGUGAAUAGAAAGGAUGAAGGGUCCCAUGUUGUUACACAUGUAUUUGAAGUAACAAUCUACAAAAAUAUUAUAAUAUAUAUAUUUUGGCAACACUUUUGAGUUAUGCAAUAUAUGUAAAUUUCUC
This is a long non-coding RNA of Oryza brachyantha (malo sina), 884 nucleotides long. RefSeq lists it as uncharacterized. The record is from RefSeq and is a predicted model, not a curated record. The transcript has 5 exons. NCBI's taxonomy places the organism in Eukaryota, Viridiplantae, Streptophyta, Magnoliopsida, Poales, Poaceae.